Long non-coding RNA from Helicoverpa zea (corn earworm), 1091 nucleotides. RefSeq lists it as uncharacterized. The transcript has 4 exons. The record is from RefSeq and is a predicted model, not a curated record. Lineage: Eukaryota; Metazoa; Arthropoda; Insecta; Lepidoptera; Noctuidae.
GAUCACCGAUUAACAUCAUCGCGGUAGCGCCGGCUAUCGCUGAAAACCAGCGCUGGGACUGUCUCCUUUCGUUUCGCAUUAUGCUGAGCGAGCGAAUUCUAAGCCUAACCCUGGCGGCUUGGUGGUGCUCCGUGGCAGGUGGACACACCUAUACAGAGCAUCAUGGUCAUCAGGGCAGGUGCAUGGCGACAGGAUUUACCUGAACAAAUAAAGAUUUUGCGCACGCAUCCAACAACAAUUCAAUCAAACAGGUACCUGUUUGAUGGAGCAGUAUACUGCUAAGCGCUUACACCCUGACCCAUUAGAGUUGUACUCUGAUAGGAAAACUGAUGGUGAAAGGAUGCCAAUUUUGAUAAAGGUACCCCCACGUUAUGGAAGAAAAUAAUGUAACAUUCAGGCGUCGUUUGCAAGUGCAGAGUCCACUUUCUUUGUGUAAAAACGAUCACCGCGUACCACGUGGUCGCCGGAGGGCGCGCCUAUUACCAGCAGACCAUACCCACAAGUUACGUAUCGCUGCUAUACGCGUAAAGCAAAAGUGCUCGUAGCCUGCAAUUUGCAAUGUUGUGACGGGUGUUUGUUACUUUCAGGCCGCCAGACAUAACGCAUCGCGAUGGACCGGGGACCCGAGAGAGACCAGGAAAUCAAACUGUGACAAUACAUUACAUGCGUUGCAACGUACAGGGUCGAUGAUGUUUAUGAUACAUCAUCAACCCUGUAUGUUUUAAUGCGUGUAAUAAAUGCAAGCAUCGCAACAAUCGACUUUCAAGAUGCGUGAUGAAAACCUUAACAUACCUUCUGAUAAUAGUCCAUAUAAGUAACGAAAAUAUUCAUUAUAUGAACUAUUAUCAGAAAUAUGUUAUAAAAUAUGAAAAACUUGACAUUUCACAAACGCAAAUCAUACGCAUUCCAUUUAAAACAUUAUAUAAUAUUAACUUGAUAUAAACGUACAACAACAAAAAAAAAAAACGCUGUACAGUUAUUCAAAUUCAUACUUUUUAGAUAGUGUUUUUUUUUUUUGCUUUAUUAUAGGAUAGUUUUUUUUGUGUUGUAAAUAUCUAUGUAUAUAACACUAUGUAAAUAAAUCUAAUUCA